Sinocyclocheilus rhinocerous is the source of this 372-nucleotide long non-coding RNA. RefSeq lists it as uncharacterized. The transcript has 4 exons. Lineage: Eukaryota; Metazoa; Chordata; Actinopteri; Cypriniformes; Cyprinidae. The record is from RefSeq and is a predicted model, not a curated record.
GAAGCAUGUGCUGUUUAAAGCCACAAAAGAGUUAACGUUUAUUUCAACACAGUGAUAUUUCUAGAUCAUCAAAUUUUUGGACUACAGUGAAUAAGACCCAUCGUGUUAUUUGCCAUAUAAGGAAGAAAAAGCAAAUAAUGGUAUAUUACGGGAGUGUGAGAACGCAAUGGAGGCGUGUUUUCUCAUUUCCAGGCGUGGCGUGCGGACUUCCGUCUUCCUCCACAGACCUCAUAUAAAAUGACGGCAACAUUGCGACCCUACCUGAACGCGGUGCGCGCCACUCUUCAAGCAGCCCUGUGUCUGGAGAACUUCUCCUCUCAGGUGGUGGAGAGACACAACAAGCCUGAGGUGGAAGUUAGGAGUAGCAAAGAG